Molecule: ribosomal RNA, 549 nt
Filed under: uncultured beta proteobacterium
Lineage: Bacteria; Pseudomonadati; Pseudomonadota; Betaproteobacteria
Description: bacterial SSU rRNA
Rfam family: Bacterial small subunit ribosomal RNA
Source: RNAcentral
UGGGGAAUUUUGGACAAUGGGCGCAAGCCUGAUCCAGCCAUGCCGCGUGCGGGAAGAAGGCCUUCGGGUUGUAAACCGCUUUUGUCAGGGAAGAAAUCCUCUGRGCUAAUACCUYGGAGGGAUGACGGUACCUGAAGAAUAAGCACCGGCUAACUACGUGCCAGCAGCCGCGGUAAUACGUAGGGUGCGAGCGUUAAUCGGAAUUACUGGGCGUAAAGCGUGCGCAGGCGGUYAUGUAAGACAGAUGUGAAAUCCCCGGGCUCAACCUGGGAACUGCAUUUGUGACUGCAYRGCUAGAGURCGGCAGAGGGGGAUGGAAUUCCGCGUGUAGCAGUGAAAUGCGUAGAUAUGCGGAGGAACACCGAUGGCGAAGGCAAUCCCCUGGGCCUGYACUGACGCUCAUGCACGAAAGCGUGGGGAGCAAACAGGAUUAGAUACCCUGGUAGUCCACGCCCUAAACGAUGUCAACUGGUUGUUGGGAGGGUUUCUUCUCAGUAACGAAGCUAACGCGUGAAGUUGACCGCCUGGGGAAGUACGGCCGCAAGGUUG